This 644-nucleotide long non-coding RNA is filed under the name Phaseolus vulgaris (common bean). RNAcentral's name for it is "long non-coding RNA (PVUL_LNC002705)". Lineage: Eukaryota; Viridiplantae; Streptophyta; Magnoliopsida; Fabales; Fabaceae. The record is from RNAcentral.
UAAUUUCAACAUCUAGUAAAUGGUACCGAGUAAUGGUAUCAACCUUCAUGAUCCAUAAGAAAGUUUUUCAGCCAUAGCGGAAGCUACUCGUAAUGCAUAGGCGAACAAGGGUUUGGAAGAACACACGUGUGGCUUAUAGGCUUGACCUCCUAGCUUAAGGUUCACAAUGUAUUCCAUGUCUCUCAACUUAUAAAACAUAUGGGCAACUUGGUUACUACUACUGAUCUCCCCUAUCAGUAAGAAGAAGUUUGUUGCUGAAAAUGAGUCUGAAGCUAUUCUGGAUCGUAUGACAGUCAGAAGAAGAGGAAUACCAAUUACUAAAGUGUUGGUGAAAUAGAAACACCUUCUUCCAAAGGAUGCAACUUGGCAAUACUACUAUGACUUGAAGAAGAAAUUUCUAACUUUCCAUCAUUGAGGACAAUGAUUCUUUGAAGGAAAGGGCUAUAUUAGGAAAUAUGCGAAGCCAUUAAUCAGUUAGGUUGAUUUAGUAGGUUUCCACGUGUCAGUAAUUUAGAGGAUAAAUUUGCUAUAUGUUAUAGUUGUGUCAGUUUUACUAUAUAUGGCAAUAAAGUUUUCUGAACCUUUCCUUAGGUGGUUCAUAUUCUCCCUCAAGUUCUUCGAGUCUUUUGUAUUCUUAGAACUAG